RNAcentral lists this long non-coding RNA (515 nucleotides) under Sorghum bicolor (sorghum). RNAcentral's name for it is "long non-coding RNA (SBIC_LNC007408)". The record is from RNAcentral. Lineage: Eukaryota; Viridiplantae; Streptophyta; Magnoliopsida; Poales; Poaceae.
GCAAGAUUUGAUGUAAUGGGUAAUUUGAAAAAUUUUACAAUUUUUUUUUUGGAAACUAAGGCCUUGUUUAGUUCCGAUUUUUUUUGGGUACUAUAACACUUUUGUUUUUAUUUGACAAUUAUUAUCCAAUCAUAGACUAAUAACUAGGCUCAAAAGAUUCAUCUCAUGAUUUAUAGGUAAAUUGUGCAAUUAGUUUGUGUUUUCGUCGAUAUUUAAUAUUUUAUGCAUAACGUAAAUUUCGAUGUGAUGAGAAAUAAAGUUUUUUGUUUUUUGGUGAACUGAACAAGACGCCUAAUGCGAAAAUAUUUUGGUUUUUGCUACUGUCGCAUUUUCGUUUGUUUGUGGCAAAUAUUGUCCAAUUAUAGACUAAUAACUAUGAUCAAAAGAUUCGUCUCGCGAUUUAUAGGUAAACUUUGUAAUUAUUUUUUAUUUUCAUCUAUAUUUAAUGCUUCAUACAUGUGUCGAAAGAUUCGAUGUGACGAGAAAUCUUGAAAACUUUUUGGUUUUCGGCGUGA